UCAGGCCUAACACAUGCAAGUCGAACGAGACCUUCGGGUCUAGUGGCGCACGGGUGCGUAACGCGUGGGAAUCUGCCCUUGGGUUCGGAAUAACUCAGAGAAAUUUGAGGUAAUACCGGAUGAUGACGAAAGUCCAAAGAUUUAUCGCCCAAGGAUGAGCCCGCGUAAGAUUAGCUUGUUGGUAGGGUAACGGCCUACCAAGGCGACGAUCUUUAGCUGGUCUGAGAGGAUGAUCAGCCACACUGGGACUGAGACACGGCCCAGACUCCUACGGGAGGCAG
This 281-nucleotide ribosomal RNA is filed under the name uncultured bacterium. RNAcentral describes it as "partial 16S ribosomal RNA". It matches the Rfam family "Bacterial small subunit ribosomal RNA", at positions 43 to 351 of the family's 1533-position model. The record is from RNAcentral.